CCUACGGGAUGCAGCAGUGAGGAAUAUUGGUCAAUGGUCGGGAGCCUGAACCAGCCACGCCGCGUGAGGGAGGAAGGUACAGAGUAUCGUAAACCUCUUUUGCCAGGGAACAAAGGCGGGGACGUGUCCCCGGAAGAGUGUACCUGACGAAAAAGCAUCGGCAAACUCCGUCCCAGUAGCCGCGUUAAUACGGGGGAUGCGAGGGUUAUCCGGUUUUAUUGGGGUGAAGGGGUGCGAAGGCGGUGUGUUAAGUCGGCGGUCAAAGCCCGGGGCCCAACCCCGGCCCGCAGUUGAAACUGGGGGUCUCGAGUGGGAGAGAGGCAGGCGGAAUGCGCGGUGUAGCGGUGAAAUGCAUAGAUA
This 360-nucleotide ribosomal RNA is filed under the name uncultured bacterium. RNAcentral's name for it is "partial 16S ribosomal RNA". It matches the Rfam family "Bacterial small subunit ribosomal RNA", at positions 338 to 696 of the family's 1533-position model. The record is from RNAcentral.